Molecule: ribosomal RNA, 253 nt
Filed under: uncultured bacterium
Lineage: Bacteria
Description: partial 16S ribosomal RNA
Rfam family: Bacterial small subunit ribosomal RNA
Source: RNAcentral
UACGAAGGAUGCAAGCGUUAUCCGGAUUUAUUGGGUUUAAAGGGUGCGUAGGCGGACUUAUAAGUCAGUGGUGAAAGACGGUAGCUUAACUAUCGCAGUGCCUUUGAUACUGCAGGGCUUGAAUGUACUUGAGGUAGGCGGAAUGUGACAAGUAGCGGUGAAAUGCAUAGAUAUGUCACAGAACACCAAUUGCGAAGGCAGCUUACUAAAGUAUGAUUGACGCUGAGGCACGAAAGCGUGGGGAUCAAACAGG